Molecule: long non-coding RNA, 223 nt
Filed under: Elaeis guineensis (African oil palm)
Lineage: Eukaryota; Viridiplantae; Streptophyta; Magnoliopsida; Arecales; Arecaceae
Description: long non-coding RNA (EGUI_LNC057606)
Source: RNAcentral
GGGUUGAAUUAUGCCUCGAUCGUGGGCUGGAAGAUCGCCGCCUUGCCGAUUACUAGGCUCUAAGGUGGUUCUGGUGGGUCUACCUCCUUUCUAGACUCUAAGGAGGUGCUCGUGGCUACUCAGGUUGUACUGGUGGCUGGGAAACCAGAUUUGGUAGGGGUGCCACCGUAGGAGGUGCUAGUGGUGCCACCAAGGGAAGUACUAGUGGCACCACUGAAGGAGA